AGAGUUUGAUCCUGGCUCAGGAUGAACGCUAGCGGCAGGCUUAAUACAUGCAAGUCGAGGGGCAGCGGGUGUAGCAAUACAUGCCGGCGACCGGCGCACGGGUGCGUAACGCGUAUGCAACCUACCUUUUACCGGAGGAUAGCCCCGAGAAAUCGGGAUUAAUACUCCAUAAUAUUAUAGAGAGGCAUCUCUUUAUAAUUAAAGCUCCGGCGGUAUUAGAUGGGCAUGCGUGACAUUAGCUAGUUGGUGAGGUGACGGCUCACCAAGGCUACGAUGUCUAGGGGUUCUGAGAGGAUUAUCCCCCACACUGGUACUGAGACACGGACCAGACUCCUACGGGAGGCAGCAGUAAGGAAUAUUGGGCAAUGGACGCAAGUCUGACCCAGCCAUGCCGCGUGAAGGAUGACGGCCCUAUGGGUUGUAAACUUCUUUUGUACGGGAAAAAACCCCCGGUCGUGACCGGGGUUGAUGGUACCGUAAGAAUAAGCAUCGGCUAACUCCGUGCCAGCAGCCGCGGUAAUACGGAGGAUGCAAGCGUUAUCCGGAUUCAUUGGGUUUAAAGGGUGCGUAGGCGGACUAUUAAGUCAGUGGUGAAAUCCUCCCGCUUAACGGGAGAACUGCCAUUGAUACUGAUAGCCUUGAGUUUGGUUAAGGUAGGCGGAAUGUGUAAUGUAGCGGUGAAAUGCUUAGAUAUUACACAGAACACCAAUUGCGUAGGCAGCUUACUGGACCGACACUGACGCUGAGGCACGAAAGCGUGGGGAUCGAACAGGAUUAGAUACCCUGGUAGUCCACGCCGUAAACGAUGAUUACUCGCUGUUGGCGAUACACAGUCAGCGGCUAAGCAAAAGCAAUAAGUAAUCCACCUGGGGAGUACGGCCGCAAGGUUGAAACUCAAAGGAAUUGACGG
Molecule: ribosomal RNA, 910 nt
Filed under: uncultured Bacteroidota bacterium
Lineage: Bacteria; Pseudomonadati; Bacteroidota
Description: bacterial SSU rRNA
Rfam family: Bacterial small subunit ribosomal RNA
Source: RNAcentral